Molecule: long non-coding RNA, 316 nt
Filed under: Vigna radiata
Lineage: Eukaryota; Viridiplantae; Streptophyta; Magnoliopsida; Fabales; Fabaceae
Description: long non-coding RNA (VRAD_LNC010825)
Source: RNAcentral
GGAAAUUCAAUUAAGCAUAUCACAAAAUCCAACCUAACCAUAUAUCACAAUUAAUCAUCAUCUGGGAGCCACUCGUCAAACGGACCAAACUCAAAAAUCAGAUUGUGGGUUCGAAAAUUUAUUCUCACCCUCUACAGUUUACUAACCCCAUGUGAUUGGAAAAAUUUGUGACAUGACAUGUGUCCGUAUUCACUGAUAAAAGCCGACGAACAUCUAUUAAUAUUCCCUGUUUCAAAAUUUUAAAAAAUAAAUAAACAAACUAUUUAAAUUUGUAUUUGCAUCAAAACAAAAACAGUAAAAGAAAGCUACUUAAGAG